RNAcentral lists this non-coding RNA (563 nucleotides) under Pan troglodytes (chimpanzee). Lineage: Eukaryota; Metazoa; Chordata; Mammalia; Primates; Hominidae. The record is from RNAcentral.
UUUCGCUUUCCGGGGCAGUGGCUGCUGUCAGAAUCCCUUCUUUGAGGAGGCACCUGCUCUUCCUCUUUUCUCCAGCUUUCCAUGAGCUGUGGGGAGUAGCUUGGGUGUCCCCUCACUCUUACUAGAUAGAAAUCAAGAAAGCGCCUUGAGGCGAGAGAAGAGUCCCGUCAGGAGGCCCAGUGGGGUCCUCCACACUCCACGGUCCCCGCCUCCGGGAAGGCCGCGCGUGGCAUGGGCAGAGCGCGGAAUCCUGGCUCCACUGCCCACCUGCCGGUUGACUUUAGGCGACGCCAACCCCAGGCUGGUGAGGAGUCCCUGAAAUAUAAGGCACGGGAGCCACCCGGAGCCACCCGACCUGCCACGUUAAGCAGCAUGAGGGACCGAAAGAUGAGUCUGGGCCAGUCUCUUAGGAGCUUCUGGUCUCGCAGAGAGGCGGGAGAUUACUCCGAAAAGCACAGCGGCAACAGACUAUAAAUUCCCCAAGAGAAGUUUCCAAGAGCAAAAGCAGCUGAAGAACUGUGAACUAGAUUCAGGUGCUUUUCCUUUCACUUACAGCAAAUGAG